AAGUCCCGUAACGAGCGCAACCCUUGUACUUAGUUGUAUUUUUCUAGGUAGACUGCCCCGGUAACGGGGAGGAAGGAGGGGAUGAUGUCAGGUCAGUAUUUCCCUUACGUCCUGGGCUAGAAACACGAUACAAUGGCUAAUACAAUGCGCAGCGAAGCCGCGAGGUGGAGCAAAUCGCAUCAAAGUUAGUCCCAGUUCGGAUUGGAGGCUGAAACUCGCCUCCAUGAAGUCGGAAUCGCUAGUAAUCGCAAAUCAGCAAGUUGCGGUGAAUACGUUCCCGGGUCUUGUACACACCGCCCGU
This 301-nucleotide ribosomal RNA is filed under the name uncultured soil bacterium. Its description in RNAcentral is "bacterial SSU rRNA". It matches the Rfam family "Bacterial small subunit ribosomal RNA", at positions 1082 to 1397 of the family's 1533-position model. The record is from RNAcentral.